CAUAGCGACUAUCGUGGCAUAUCAAUAAGCGGAGGAAAAGAAACUAACAAGGAUUCCCCUAGUAACGGCGAGUGAAGCGGGAAGAGCUCAAAUUUGAAAUCUUAAAGGGUUUCCCUUUACGAAUUGUAGUUUAAAGAAGUGUUUUCUGUUGGAGUUUCGGUAAAAGUUCUUUGGAAUAGGACAUCAUAGAGGGUGAGAAUCCCGUAUUUGAUCCGUUACUUUCCAGCUGUGUGAUACACUUUCAAAGAGUCGGAUUGUUUGGGAAUGCAGUCCAAAAUGGGUGGUAAAUUUCAUCUAAAGCUAAAUAUUGGCGAGAGACCGAUAGCGAACAAGUACCGUGAGGGAAAGAUGAAAAGAACUUUGAAAAGAGAGUUAAACAGUACGUGAAAUUGUCAAAAGGGAAGCGUUUGACACCAGUGUUGUUUAGUUGAAAAUCAAUUCAAUAGUUUUUGAUUUUAAGUAGUAUUGACUUCAUCAGCUUGCCUGCUUUCUUUUCAGAAAUUAUUGAAUGCACUUUUCAGUUAACAAGUCAACAUCAAUUUCUUUUGUUGUAAAAGGGUAAGAGGAAGGUGGCUUACGCUUCGGCGUAAGUGUUUAUAGCCUUUUACCUCUGCAAUCGGAGAGAUUGAGGACAGCAGCGUAGACUCUUCGGGGUUAGAUACACUUGUGCUAAGCUAUAGCCUUGUAUAGACAACUUGUUGACUAUGCUCAGUCAUGUAGCUUACUCGCUUGUGCUAUUUUACCUACGCUUAGGAUGUUGACGCGCGUGUGUGCGUG
Molecule: ribosomal RNA, 777 nt
Filed under: uncultured Neocallimastigales
Lineage: Eukaryota; Fungi; Neocallimastigomycota; Neocallimastigomycetes; Neocallimastigales
Description: partial large subunit ribosomal RNA
Rfam family: Eukaryotic large subunit ribosomal RNA
Source: RNAcentral